GAGAGCAUCUGUCUGCAUGGUGACGUCACCCUGCCUUCUCCUGCUCCUGAAUCCUCUGCCGUCCGCACCGUCCGGGAGGAGGAAUCCAAACAACUCAGCGUCAAAAACAACACGGUGCUUUUCAUCAUCCAUGGAGAAGACGGGAGGAGGAGAGAGGGGGAGGAUGUGGAGGCUGCGGGAUGGAUCCUGGAGGAGAUUAUGCGACACAGGCAGUAACAGAGAUCAGCGUUCCCUGUGCUUCUCCUCUCCCUGCUGCGGGUCUUGCGGGACUCGCUGCCUCUGUGCACUGAUCAGCCUGAUGGAGACGGAGUCAGCUGAAAGAUGCCAGCAUCUCUAAAUUACAGACGGUUGAAGGAAGAAGCUGCAGUGGGUUAGGCGGAAUGCGGCGGUUCGGGCCUGUUUGGAUCAUGUAGGCUAACGUUGCAUGGUCGGCCUGCAGACUCAUCUGCUCCAUUCAUUGGGUGGAGGAAAACACUGUUAUAUAAGACUCCAAAAGGAUCAGAUAUGAUUGAACCUGUCCUGAAUGCAUGACGUCGUUGCAUUUAGAUCAAAUGUUGAUCAUGUAAUCCAGCAUUUCUAUUACAACAAACUUACUACUCUUUUAUGCACAUAUUAAGGAAAUGAGGCUGUGUGAUAAUCUGAAACAAAGAAAAAACAACAGAGACCUUUUUCUUUAUAUUCUACUUCCUCCUGUGUACCAGACCACAGGAGGAAGUCUCUCAUAUCAGUCACCUGGUUCUGCUCCGUCAUGGCCGUCUGCCUGAUGCCCUUGACAUGUCAAGCAGAACAAAUGAUCAGGAACAUGCAUGUUCUUGUGCAGUUGGUAAAUGUUUGGACAUCUGUGACCUUCUAUGAUUUCUACCUGCUGUUUACUUGACCAUGUGUGUUUCUUGGCUCCUUUCUCUCCGUGUUCACAGUGGACCUUGAUUUAAAAUCAGUCAAUUAAGGCACGCGGUGAAUGCCAAGAGAGAAGUCUCACUACAACGCUGGAAUUGAACGUGACUGUGCAUUUUGAUUUUGCUGUUCCAGGUUUUGCAUCCAUUCUCCACCAGCUUAGACAUGAUCAUAAAGAGCAUGUGUGAUAUUUCCUUUGCUGACUUAUUAAAGUCCAGCUUGGAUACAAAUGGUUCCGUCUCAGUCAAGAGAGUGACAGCACAUGAAAAAUAUACCACAUUGUUGAAUUAAUACUUGUAAACGUUCUGUAACAUUGACAAAAAAAUAAAGUACAGUCAUAUUGAA
Molecule: long non-coding RNA, 1239 nt
Organism: Xiphophorus maculatus (southern platyfish)
Lineage: Eukaryota; Metazoa; Chordata; Actinopteri; Cyprinodontiformes; Poeciliidae
Exons: 2
Source: RefSeq, a predicted model, not a curated record